UUUUUUAUAAAUUAUUAGUAUUAUAAGAUUAUCAAUAAAUAUAAAAUAAAUAAGUAAAAUUAUUGAAAUUUUAGUUUAAAGAGUACUGUGAAGGAAAAGUAAUUUAUAAAAGUAUAACUUAAUUUUAGUACCUUUUGUAUUAUGGUUUAACGAGAUUAAUUAAUGUAAAAUUAAUUUCUAGAAAUAAAAAGAGCUAUAUUUAAACUAAUAUAAUGUUGCAAAAUUUUUUUGAUUUAACUAUAGGGGUGAAAUGCUUUUCGAUUUUUAUGAUAGCUAGUUGAAAGAUAAAGAUAUAUAAGUAUUGAAUAAAAUAAAACAAAUGUUUGAGUUUUUUUUUAUUUUUUUUUUAUAAAGGCUAAGCUUUAUAAAUGAGAGUAUAAUAAUUAAAAUAAAAAUAUGUAGGCUUAAAGGUAGUUAUCAUUAUUAUUGUUUUUUGACAGAAUUUAAUUUAAUUUUAUGUUUUAUCUCUUUUUUAUCUUUUCUUUAUAUAAAUUUAUAUUAAUAUGGUUGUUUAUGUUAAAAUGAGUAUUGAUUUUCUUAUUUCUUGUAUUAUUUGAAGAGUGAGAUGAAAAAUUGAAUUUAAUAUAAAUAUAUGGAAGGAAUUCGGCAAAAAUUUGUUUCGCCUGUUUACCAAAAACAUCGCUCUCUGUAAAUUAAAAAUAGGGAGUCGUGCCUGCCCAGUGAAAAUUAAACGGCCGCAGUACCCUGACUGUGCUAAGGUAGCAUAAUCAUUUGCCUUUUAAUUGGAGGCUAGAAUGAAUGGCUUGACGAGAACAAAGCUGUCUCCUUUGUAUUAUUUAGAAGUUAAUUUUUAGGUGAAGAAGCCUAAAUUAUUUUAAAAGACGAAAAGACCCUAUCGAACUUUAAAUUAUACUGAUGUUUAGUUUUUAGUAAAAUUAGUUUUUAGUUUUGUUUUUAAUUGGGGCGAUGAAAGAACAUAAAAAGCUUCUUUUUUUUUAUAUAAUUUUUAAAUUAAAAUGAUCCAAAGUUGUUGAAAAAAGAAAAGUUACCGUAGGGAUAACAGCGUAAUUUUUCUGGAGAGUUCAAAUUGAAGGAAGAGUUUGCGAC
This 1068-nucleotide ribosomal RNA is filed under the name Plaxiphora albida. RNAcentral describes it as "16S ribosomal RNA". The stretch from base 582 to 798 matches the Rfam family "Bacterial large subunit ribosomal RNA", at positions 1692 to 2034 of the family's 2925-position model. Lineage: Eukaryota; Metazoa; Mollusca; Polyplacophora; Chitonida; Mopaliidae. The record is from RNAcentral.